RNAcentral lists this ribosomal RNA (465 nucleotides) under uncultured bacterium. Its description in RNAcentral is "partial 16S ribosomal RNA". It matches the Rfam family "Bacterial small subunit ribosomal RNA", at positions 28 to 507 of the family's 1533-position model. The record is from RNAcentral.
GACGAACGCUGGCGGCGUGCUUAACACAUGCAAGUCGAACGGAAAGGCCCCUUUGGGGGUACUCGAGUGGCGAACGGGUGAGUAACACGUGAGUAACCUGCCCUUGACUUCGGGAUAACUUCAGGAAACUGGGGCUAAUACCGGAUAGGAAUCCUUGCUGCAUGGUGGGGGUUGGAAAGCUUCGGCGGUUUUGGAUGGACUCGCGGCUUAUCAGCUUGUUGGUGGGGUAGUGGCUUACCAAGGCUUUGACGGGUAGCCGGCCUGAGAGGGCGACCGGCCACAUUGGGACUGAGAGACGGCCCAGACUCCUACGGGAGGCAGCAGUGGGGAAUAUUGCACAAUGGGCGGAAGCCUGAUGCAGCAACGCCGCGUGCGGGAAGACGGCCUUCGGGUUGUAAACCGCUUUCAGCAGGGGCGAAGCUUGUGGUGACGGUACCUGCAGAAGAAGCACCGGCUAACUACGUG